Molecule: ribosomal RNA, 440 nt
Filed under: uncultured bacterium
Lineage: Bacteria
Description: partial 16S ribosomal RNA
Rfam family: Bacterial small subunit ribosomal RNA
Source: RNAcentral
CCUACGGGAGGCAGCAGUGGGGAAUAUUGCACAAUGGGGGAAACCCUGAUGCAGCGACGCCGCGUGAGCGAUGAAGUAUUUCGGUAUGUAAAGCUCUAUCAGCAGGGAAGAAAAUGACGGUACCUGACGAAGAAGCCCCGGCUAACUACGGGCCAGCAGCCGCGGUAAUACGUAGGGGGCAAGCGUUAUCCGGAUUUACUGGGUGGAAAGGGAGCGUAGACGGCGAUGCAAGCCAGAUGUGAAAGCCCGGGGCUCAACCCCGGGACUGCAUUUGGAACUGUAUAGCUAGAGUGUCGGAGAGGCAGGCGGAAUUCCUAGUGUAGCGAUGAAAUGCGUAGAUAUUAGGAGGAACACCAGUGGCGAAGGCGGCCUGCUGGACGAUGACUGACGUUGAGGCUCGAAAGCGUGGGGAGCAAACAGGAUUAGAUACCCGUGUAGUC